RNAcentral lists this long non-coding RNA (4591 nucleotides) under Canis lupus familiaris (dog). RNAcentral's name for it is "lncRNA (ENSCAFG00000054960.1)". Lineage: Eukaryota; Metazoa; Chordata; Mammalia; Carnivora; Canidae. The record is from RNAcentral.
AUGCUCAGCCCUGUAGGCCGAGGAAGGACAACCCGGGGGAUCCCAGCUCCAGGGGACAAUCGGGGCAACUUCGUAGGGGUCGGAGGUGUGCGGCGGGCGCAGAACCGCGGAUCCACCUGCUUCGCCGCCCCCCACGGUCCCCCCAACUACCCCCCCCCGGCUCUGCGGGCCUCGGUGGUCACCUUGCCGCAGUGGCCUCCCGGCGGACCCCGCGGACCCCCGCCUGCUGACCCCACACCCCGAGCAGAGCCCCGCGAGGACCUGGGCCGUGGUUUCGGAUGCAGUCGGCUGCGUGGAGGGAGCGCUGCGCCCGGUGGCCCAGAUCACCAUGUCCGUCUACACCGUGGCAGCUCUCCCAGGUCCUUGGGGCUGCAGCCGGGACAGCACCACUGCCUGUUCCGCCCUUGCCCCUUGGCCCUCUCCCAGCCUGCCCACCGCCACCCUUCCCGCUCACGGUGCACAGACAGUCCCGCUCCUGGGGGUCCACAUCUGACCUGACUUCAUUUUUCUUGAAAAGCGUUGAGCUGCUCACCCCAGUGACAUCAGCUCGCUUCCCCACUGGGCCUCGAAGCCAGUUCCCUGCCUCCCCGGCCCCAGGCCUCGCCCCCUCCCAGACCCCAGCAGGGGACAGGCACACUGGAGGGCCACUGCCUAAGGCCCAGGACCUGUGCCCAAGUCCCAGCUCUGACACCAAAUAAUUGUGUUACCUUGGACAUGUCGCACAGCCUUCCUCAGCCCCAAUUUCCCCAAAUGUAAAAUGGGAAUAAGAACCUACUUUAUCACAUGCUGUGUUGCUUAGAUAAUGUGUGAGAAAGCGCGUUGUGGGCUGUAAGGCUGUCUCCUGCUGUAGAUCCAAAUAAGAAAGAUAAAUGUUACUCAGAUGCUGGAGACAGUGAUUGCCUUUCCAAAGCAAAAUUAAAAAAAAAAAAAAAAAAUAUAUAUAUAUAUAUAUAUAUGUAUGUAUAUAAAACGAGUUUUUCCUCUUAGCUGCAGUGUCAGCUGCAUUAGAAUUAGACUGGAAAAAAAAAGAAUUAGACUGGAUUCUAAUCCAUUAGACUGGAUUCUAAUUAUUCCUUUUGGAUCAGUUACCAGGUAAUAUUACAGGUAGUAGUGAAAGAACUCACAAUCCCACCUGAUCCUGGAGUCCGGGAUCGAGUCCCGUGUCGGGCUCCCUGCAUGGAGCCUGCUUCUCCCUCUGCCUGUGACUCUGCCUCUCUCUCUAUAUAUAUCUCUCAUUAAUAAAUAAAAUCUUAAAAAUAAAUAAAAUUCUUAAAAAAGAAAAAAAAAAGGAACUCACAAUCCCAAGAUCAAGAGUCACAUGCUCCACUGACCCAGCCAGCCUGGCGUCCCUAUAACAUAAAAGGUUUUUUGUUGUUUUUUUUUUUUUUUUUUUUUAAGCUGCAUGCUCAGUAGUGUAUGUGCAGAGAGAUGUGAGAGGGGAAGGGACUUUUCCAGCGCUCUUCAUAGCUUGUUAUUAGGCCUGCACACAGGGCACCUGGGGCCAGAGAACUCGGGACACAUUCCAGGGCCUGACUCUUACACAAAUAGCUCGGCCCUUGCGUCCCGAGAGUAGGGGAUUCAGGACGGAGGAACCAGAAGGUUGGUGCCUCCGGGGAGCCGCAGCCUGCCCCAGAUCCGGGUCUGCCUCCAUGUCCCUGUGGCCUCAUGUUCCAAGGUUUUCUGCACCAUUUCUCCCACCUGGACUUGGGCUUUAGAGAACGAGAGCCUCCAGGGCCUGCGUGGACGAGUCCCAGGCGGCUUAGAGGAAGGCCCGCCCGCCCGCCGGCAAGAGGCUCCGGGCACAGACACAGGAACUAAGCGCCCAGAUGAGGGGCCUGGGCCACGGAGGGGGCACGAGGAGCCAUCGCGGAGCUGGGGAGCUGCGGGGCUGCGGAGGGCAGCGCGAGGGCUGGCCGGGGCCCUGCUGAGAGUCCGGGCUUGCGCGCUGCUCUCCGCCCAGUACCUGCCGGUUCACAUCCCAGGUUCAGACCCGCGGCCCCGAGGGCAGGAGCCCCGCGGUCCGCCCCCUGCGCAGCCGGGCGCCUCGUGCCUGCAGAGCUGCAGCAAGUCCCGUGGACCGUCCGCGGGUGGGAGGCGCUUGGAAUGAGGGGGGUCCGGUGCCCGCACACCACCAGCACCCGGCCCAUCAGCAGGCCCACCUGUUUACGUAGAAUACAUCCGGCGUCUGACCCCCUCUUGCCACCUCCUCGGCUGUCAUUCCGGUCCCAGCCACUGCCUUCUACCUGGAUUUUUUUUUAAGAUUUUAUUUAUUUAUUCAUGAGAGACACACACAUACAGAGAGGCAGAGACACAGGCAGAGGGAGAAGCAGGCUCCAUGCAGGGAGCCCGACGUGGGACUCGAUCCCGGGACUCCAGGAUGGUGCCCUGGGCCAAAGGCAGGUGCUCAACCGCUGAGCCCCCCAGGUGUCCCUUUGUGUGCGUGUGGGAUUUGGUUUAUUUGAGAGCGAGCAGCAGGGGCGGAGCAGAGGGAGAGGGAGAGAGAAUUUCCAGCCGACUCCAUGCUGAGUGCAGAGCCUGAUGCACGGCUUGAUCCCCGGACCCAUGAGAUCAUGACCUGAGCCCAAACCACAAGAGUCGAAUGCUCAAGCACCUGAGCCCCCCGGGGAGCCUGUGCCUGGAUUAUGGCUGCAGCCUCCCGCCUCGCCCCCAGCUUCUGUCUUCAGGCCCUACACCGACUCUCAAGUCCCUUCUCUACACUGCACUUCCCAGAGUGAUCCUUUAAAAGCAUAAAUUAGGUCACAUCUCUUCUCUACCCCAAAUCCCCCCGUGGCUCCCCAUCCUGAUCAGCGUAAAAGGCAAAUCCUUAGAGUGGUCCCAAUGCCCUGCGUGACCUGAUGUCCUUGACCCUGCCCCUGCUCUCCCAGGCUCACCAGACUGCAACCGUACUGCCACUCUGCUGCUCCUCAAACACACCAAGCAUGUAGCUGCCUCAGGGCCUUUGCUCUUGAUGUCCCUCCACCCUCCGCCCUUGGCAGUCCUCACUUUUCCUUCCGGUCUUUGAGAAAUGACCACUCGUCAGAGGGGUCUUUCCUGACAGCCCUAAAUAAACCUGCACAGUUCCCCUAUGUCCCACAUUCGCUGUACCCUCUUACCUGCUUUACUUCUCCCCAGGACCCUUCUCCCCACCACCCGUAUCUGUCAUCCUGGGCCCCUCCUGCCAGAUUUAAAACCUCACAAAAUCUCUCUUGAAAACAGCUUUUCCAGGUCUGUCUCAACCUGUCUGUGCAUAUUCACCAGUCCCAUUGCCUGCCCUUCCCCCCCAGCCCGCGUCCCCCAAACCCCUCCAUCUCCGGCCACUCCCCACGAGCUCCCCAGGAGCCCCGCUCAGGCCAGGCCGGACUUUGCCGGCUGCCCGGGCUGCCCUGCUCGUUUAUCCCUCAUGCUUCUUGCACAAAGGAGGUCGCAAGGUCCCUGGUGUCGGGCAGUUGCGAUGGUUCCCAAGUGUUUACUGUUGCAGGCGCCCGGGCGUGCCCACGGCAGCUUCCUUCAGAUAAGUUAUUUGAAGAGGAACUACUGAGCCAAAGGGUGUGUGAUUUUCUAGGCUCCCGAUGAGUGUUGCCAACUUUUCCUCCUGUUUAUCUAAUUAUAGUCCCCUCAGCUAGUGUGUGAUGCCCUUUGUCUUUUUUUACAUCCUUAGCAAAACUGGGGAUUUAAAAAACACUGGGAGGUGAAAAAGUUACAUCUUGUCUUAAUUGACAUCGGUGAAGUUGGACAUUUUUUUUUGUUUCCCUCUUUUGUUAAUUCAUAAUUAAUUUCCCUUUAAAAAAUGUUUUCCUCUGUCCUUUUCUAUCGGGAUGUUAGGUUUUUACUCCUGAUUUAUAAUCCUUAUUUUUAUAUUAAGAGUAUUUAUGGGGGGCACCUGGGUAGCUCAGUCGGUUGGGCAUCCGACUCUUGAUCUUGGCUCAGGUCAUGAUCUCGGGGUCAAGAGAUCGUGCUCUGUGCUCAGUGGGGAGUCUGCUUGAGAUUCUCUCUUUCUGUCUCCCUCUGCCCCUCCCUUGCAAAAAAAGAAUAUUUAUGGGACACCUGGCUGGUUCAGCUGGUGGCACAUGCAGCUCUUGAUCUUGGGCUUGGGAGUGUGAGCCCCAUGUUGGGUGUAGAAAUAACUUAAAAAAAUAAUGAUUAAAAAAAUAAUAAAAUAAUGAAAAACCAAAUUCACUAUUUGAAAUGUCUGUGGGGGGAUCCCUGGGUGGCGCAGCGGUUUGGCGCCUGCCUUUGGCCCAGGGCGCGAUCCUGGAGACCCGGGAUCGAAUCCCACGUCAGGCUCCUGGUGCAUGGAGCCUGCUUCUCCCUCUGCCUAGUCUCUGCCUCUCUCUCUCUCUCUCUCUCUCUCUGUGACUAUCAUAAAUAAAAAAUAAAUAAAAAAAAAAAGAAAUGUCUGUGGGAGUAUUUUUUUUCCAGUUUGUUUCUUACCUUUCAAUUCUGUUUUGCAGGUUCUAGCAUAGAAAAUUUAGAAAUAGGGAAGACUGGGUAGCUCAGUUGUUUAAGCAUUUGACUCAGUUUCAGCUCAGGUUGUGAUCUCGGGGUCCUGGGAUCGAUCCCCACAUGGGGCUCAGCAUGCGCCCCCCCUCAG